AUACAUAUAGAUUUAAUAUCAUAGUGUGAAAUAUACAACAGUUGCUUCUCUAGGUUGAAAGAGGAGAUAGAAUAAUAGAACCCUGCGGUAUCAGUCAUAGAUGACAGCAGAAGAAUCGGGACAAACGUAACUAGAAUUAGGUUUCCACAUUCGCCACUCCAGAUCUGACCCUUUACUUCUGUCUGAAUCAAAAUGUGCUCUCUGCGAAUAUAGCGACAUCUACAACGUGAGUUUUCAAAAAACAGUAUUAUUGCCAGAAUGGAACCAGCAAGUAGGAAUCUGUGACCCAAACCACUAUCACAGUGUGGAAGAUCAAUUAAAAUUCCAGUCUCACCACGAUAACAACAUGUUAACACUAGAAAGCUUGCGCAAUCACUACAGCUCUUGUUUCUCAUGCGGGGUUAGUUGGACGGACAACCACGUUUCCCUGGACUGUUUGGAAUGUGGUGGGUACGCUCUGCAACGGCCCUGUCCCAAAUGUGAAGGAGAAUGUAAGAGCAUUUGGAGCAGAGACAUGGCAGCUUCUCACGAGAGUAAACACGCCAAGUGGGAAGGCCAGUGUCAUAGCUCUGAUAAGUCACAGAGUGAUAACUGUGAGUUCUUUCCAAAAGCUUUAGGGAAUCUAAAAAAAAAAUUAUGACAAGUUGUAAUUAGUCCAGAAGAAACAACAAAUUUAUAAUUUUGAUAGUUGUAAAUAAAAAGCUUGUAACGAUGCAAGUAUGUGUGUAUGCUGCACAGCAUGUUAGUAUUUUAAAUGUUUGUUUGAUAUUUUCACGUUAACAAAGGAAGAAUUAUUACUGUUAGUGUUGGAUUAAUCUUCGUUAUUGAAGAGUGUCAAACUGUUAUUAAAACUCGAAAGUAGUUGUGUUUUGAUCUUGUUGUGUUCUGCAAUAUUUACCCUUGUGUUACUGAUAGUGAAGGUUAUUAGGCCUGUGGAAAAGCCGGUAAGGCUCAAAAAGGCGUCUGAGCUGAAGAGAAGAAAAAGAGGAAGAAGAAGAUGGAGAGCUAUACUAUAUACGUCUAAAAGGUUGUUUAUAGUUAUUCAUAGAAACUUACGUGAUAAAUAAAUUAAAACCGAUUAUUUGUCAACGCUUUUACAGUAAAAAGUAUAGUAAAUAUAGUCAUUAGGAUGACCAAGACAAUUACUAUUAAUUACCUUCUACGGCUACAGUCAAAUACCUUUAUUUCAUAUGAUCAACACUGAAGUAUACUUGAUUGUUUUAUCUACUUAAACCCAAAGUGAUUGAUGAAUAUACGUAGCUGGAGACAAAUCACUUAGUACUGUUGUCUUGUCUGAGCGUAACCAGUGACAGGCAGGCAGGACUAUUUAUUUGGCUAUACCCAAAUUAUACUUAGGUAUUAUCUGGCAUCAGUUAAUCCCAUUCAUGUUUGUUUGUUUAUUCUUUGGUCGAAUUAAAAUUCAUUUGAUGUAAUUAUUUAACUGCGGUCAAAAUUAGAUUACACAAACAAAACACUCGUAGGAUUAUAUUAGUAUAAACAAGUUCAUUGAUUGUAUUAUUUAGCACUUGCAAGUGUUAUUAUGUUACAAAGUACUGACUUAUUAGUUAUAUUAAAAAUCACUAAUGAAGAAUUGUAUUAUUUUUUUAUUAUACCUGUAAGUUAAACUUCUGAAAUUAUUUCCUGUGAGUUUAUUGGAAUAUAUUUUUUCCAAAAAUCUCUAGAUUCCCAAUACCAGUUGAAUAUUUUAAAAAUAAAUAAAACAUAAUAAAUGGAUUAUAUUUAAGACAGAACAAUUUACUGACAAUAUUUUAGUGUUUUAAAGUAUUUAAACAUGUUCGUGGUGCAGCUAGUGCUUCUAAAAUAUGUUUGAAACAUACUCUUUGAAUAACACAUUUAUCCUAUACUGUAUGCGUGUUUUCACCUUGCAUUUACAAGAGUGGAGCAGAUGAUGUAAAGGUUAAUUCUGGCAGCCAAAAUAUACAUGACCAUACGUUAUUAAUGACCUGUAAAUAUUUUGGUAGUUUCUAUCAAUUUUGAACAAAGAUUGUAAAAGUUCUAAAUCUUUUAUAAAUGCCACCAUAUUCUUUUUAUGGUUCAAUAAUAUCUUCCUGCCAAAGCUAGUCCAAAAUAGCUAGAGCUUUCAAUAAGAAAGUGUUAACAAUAUUAUAAAGUAACAUGCUUUACAAAUUGGACUUAGAAGUAGUAAUAUGGAUAACAAAGAUAACUGUCAUUUUGUUGUUAGUUCAAUAACUUGAUCAGUCUACCUCUCAUGUAGUCACUUAGCAUCUGUUGAAAAACUUGAAAUGAUCAUAUAUAUAUAUAUAUUACUAACAGUUUUGAAACAUUGACAAAUAAGGCAUACGCCUAACUUUUUUAAAUGAUAAACGUCUGCUUAUGAAGUCCUUGUUUAAUAUCAAGUGAAGUUUCAAGUAUAUAGGAUUUUUCUAUGUUUUUAAAAAUGAGCAAUAAUUCUAACUACCAGAUCAUUUAUUAGAUUUUUCAUUUUUAUUAUUAAUAAAAUUCAUAUUUCCAGCUCCAACCUCCUUUAGUAAGUGAACUUAAAAGCACUUAUUCUAGGAUGAUUUCUUCAAUAAGUAUUGUUAGUUUUGCUGUUGCUUUCAUCGAAAUAACUAUUACACAAAAAUAUGUUAUAUAUGACAAAAAAAAGGUUUUAAUUUAAGAAACCGCGGAUUUCAUCUAAUAGUUAAUAAAUGCAUUCAAAUAUACCUAAUCCAAACAAAAAAUGUCCCAAUGUAAAUGAUAUUUUUAAGAUUGAAGUUUUAAAAAUAUAUGUCGCUCUUGCUUUUAACUGUUUCAGCACCCUGGCAUACAUCAUCACACUAAGCACCAUCAUCCAAAUGUGACUAAACUGAAAUUAGUCAUAAGAUAAAAUGUUUAGUAAAUAAUUAUUAACCAUUACAUUUGAAUAAUACAGUGUACAUCACAAGAGAUAUUGACAAAAAUAUUCACAUAAAUUAUACAGCUGUAAGUAAUUAUCAAAUAAUUAUAAACACAUUUGUUAAGAAAGAAAUAACUUUGUUGCCUAAUAUAAUAAAUAUGACACUAUUUUCAUAGGUAUUUGCUUGUUAGCCUUUUGGUGCAUUAUUAUUACUAUAAAUAUGUUUUACAAAACAUAUGUCAAUGAAUUGACCAUGAUGUUGUAAAGCUUGUAUAAUUGUGAUAUUCUUUUGUUUCUUAUUUGCAUGUUUUUUAUUCCUGGUUGCACAUUCAGCCAGUUCUUACUAAAUUUGUUUCAAUACAUCCAUUAUUGUUUUAACCAGAAAAUAAUAAAAGGGAAGUAACUAUGAGUGUGCUGUAAUACAGCUUUUUGACUUUGUUUUUCAAAAACAGAUUAAAACUGUGAAAACACUGCCUUACCUGUUUUCUAAGCCUAUUUUCACAUUAUUGACG
This 3372-nucleotide unclassified non-coding RNA is filed under the name Limulus polyphemus (Atlantic horseshoe crab). Its description in RNAcentral is "uncharacterized LOC106468628, transcript variant X4". The record is from RNAcentral. Lineage: Eukaryota; Metazoa; Arthropoda; Merostomata; Xiphosura; Limulidae.